GGCGUGAUCGUAAAGUGGUUAGUAAAUUGCGUUGAGGCAGCAAUAACCCAGGUUCGAAUCCUGGUCACGGCA
This 72-nucleotide transfer RNA is filed under the name Nematostella vectensis (starlet sea anemone). It matches the Rfam family "tRNA". Rfam says of the family: Transfer RNA (tRNA) molecules are approximately 80 nucleotides in length. Their secondary structure includes four short double-helical elements and three loops (D, anti-codon, and T loops). Lineage: Eukaryota; Metazoa; Cnidaria; Anthozoa; Actiniaria; Edwardsiidae. The record is from Rfam by way of RNAcentral.